Molecule: long non-coding RNA, 280 nt
Filed under: Mytilus galloprovincialis (Mediterranean mussel)
Lineage: Eukaryota; Metazoa; Mollusca; Bivalvia; Mytilida; Mytilidae
Source: RNAcentral
UGUCUCGCCUUCUUUACUAAUUAUUGAUAUUAUGUUGAUAGUCCUAAGUAUAAAGCUUUAUUAAAAACUGUCACAUAAACUUAGCAUUAACCAAGACAAAGACCAAUGAACCAUGAAAAUGAGGUCAAGGUCAGAUGAACCAUGCCAGGCAGACAUGUACAGCUAACAAUGCUUCCAUACAACAAAUAUAGUUGACCUAUUACUUAUAGUUUAAGAAAAAUAGACCAAAACACAAAAACUUAACACUGAGCAAUGAACCGUGAAAAUGAGGUCGAGGUCA